Molecule: ribosomal RNA, 479 nt
Filed under: uncultured bacterium
Lineage: Bacteria
Description: bacterial LSU rRNA
Rfam family: Bacterial large subunit ribosomal RNA
Source: RNAcentral
GCGAACUCCUUCGGGAGUGGUAGCGGAGCGUUCCGUAAGCCUGCGAAGGGAUACUCGUGAGAGGUCCUGGAGGUAUCGGAAGUGCGAAUGCUGACAUGAGUAACGCGAAAAAGUGUGAGAGACACUUUCGCCGUAAGUCCAAGGGUUCCUGCGUAAAGCUAAUCUGCGCAGGGUCAGCCGGUCCCUAAGGCGAGGCCGAAAGGCGUAGUCGAUGGGAAUGAGGUAAAUAUUCCUCAGCCAGCGGGUGGUGACGGAUCUUUUCCGUCGUUCGGUCUUAUUGGAUUGACCGGGCGGCUUACGGGUCCCAGGAAAUAGCCCCCGCAUCAGACCGUACCCUAAACCGACACAGGUGGACUGGUAGAGUAUACCAAGGCGCUUGAGAGAACUACGUUGAAGGAACUCGGCAAAAUUACCUCCGUAACUUCGGAAUAAGGAGGCCUUGGCUGCACGCAAGUGCGGUCGAGGGGCACAGACCAGGG